This 698-nucleotide ribosomal RNA is filed under the name uncultured Glomeromycotina. Its description in RNAcentral is "bacterial SSU rRNA". It matches the Rfam family "Eukaryotic small subunit ribosomal RNA", at positions 346 to 1045 of the family's 1831-position model. The record is from RNAcentral. Lineage: Eukaryota; Fungi; Glomeromycota.
AUGGUAGUAACGGGUAACGGGGAAUUAGGGUUCGAUUCCGGAGAGGGAGCCUGAGAAACGGCUACCACAUCCAAGGAAGGCAGCAGGCGCGCAAAUUACCCAAUCCCGACACGGGGAGGUAGUGACAAGAAAUAACAAACCAGGGCUCUUACGAGUCUUGUUAUUGGAAUGAGUACGAUUUAAACCUCCUAACGAGGAACAAUUGGAGGGCAAGUCUGGUGCCAGCAGCCGCGGUAAUUCCAGCUCCAAUAGCGUAUAUUAAAGUUGUUGCAGUUAAAAAGCUCGUAGUUGAACUUCAGGCCUGUCCAGAUGGUCCGCCUUAAUUGGUGUGUACUGUCCUUGGGUGGGUCCUACCUUCUAAAGAACCAUAAUGUCAUUCAUUUGGUGUUAUGGGGAAUUAGGACUGUUACCUUGAAAAAAUUAGAGUGUUUAAAGCAAGCUUACGCUUGAAUACAUUAGCAUGGAAUAAUGAAAUAGGACAUCCGAUUCUAUUUUGUUGGUUUCUAGGAUCGAUGUAAUGAUUAAUAGGGAUAGUUGGGGGCAUUAGUAUUCAAUUGUCAGAGGUGAAAUUCUUGGAUUUAUUGAAGACUAACUACUGCGAAAGCAUUUGCCAAGGAUGUUUUCAUUAAUCAAGAACGAAAGUUAGGGGAUCGAAGACGACCAGAUACCGUCGUAGUCUUAACCAUAAACUAUGCCGA